CACAGUGUAGAGAUGGUGCGUUAAGUGCCGGACGGAUGGGAGGCUGCCGCCGGACGAAGGAGCUUGCUCCGCGAUGCCAUUUCAGCUUCCACCGUG
Firmicutes bacterium CAG:176_59_8 is the source of this 96-nucleotide non-coding RNA. Lineage: Bacteria; Bacillati; Bacillota. The record is from Rfam.